AUACGGAGGAUCCGAGCGUUAUCCGGAUUUAUUGGGCUUAAAGGGAGCGUAGGCGGGAGAUCAAGUCAGCUGUGAAAUGUAGAUGCUCAACAUCUGCACUGCAGUUGAAACUGGUUUUCUUGAGUGCGUAAGGGGCAGGCGGAAUUCGUCGUGUAGCGGUGAAAUGCUUAGAUAUGACGAAGAACUCCGAUCGCGAAGGCGGCCUGCCGGGCCGCGACUGACGCUGAAGCUCGAAGGUGCGGGUAUCGAACAGGAUUAGAUACCCUGGUAGUCCGCACAGUAAACGAUGGAUACUCGCUGUCGGCGAUAUACGGUCGGUGGCCAAGCGAAAGCGUUAAGUAUCCCACCUGGGGAGUACGCCGGCAACGGUGAAACUCAAAGGAAUUGACGGGG
RNAcentral lists this ribosomal RNA (393 nucleotides) under uncultured bacterium. RNAcentral describes it as "partial 16S ribosomal RNA". It matches the Rfam family "Bacterial small subunit ribosomal RNA", at positions 523 to 918 of the family's 1533-position model. The record is from RNAcentral.